UAGUUUGACUCCGUGGCUCGAGGACGACGCUGGCGGCGUGCUUAACACAUGCAAGUCGAACGAUGAACCAGGGCUUGCCCUGGGGAUUAGUGGCGAACGGGUGAGUAACACGUGGGCAACCUGCCCCAGACACCUGGAUAACCUCUCGAAAGAGUGGCUAAUACCGGAUAUGACCACUUCGGGCAUCCGACGGUGGUGGAAAGGAUUCUGGUCUGGGAUGGGCCCGCGGCCUAUCAGCUAGUUGGUGGGGUAAUGGCCUACCAAGGCGACGACGGGUAGCCGGCCUGAGAGGGCGACCGGCCACACUGGGACUGAGACACGGCCCAGACUCCUACGGGAGGCAGCAGUGGGGAAUAUUGCGCAAUGGGCGAAAGCCUGACGCAGCGACGCCGCGUGAGGGACGAAGGUCUUCGGAUUGUAAACCUCUUUCAGCAGGGACGAAGCGAAAGUGACUGUACCUGCAGAAGAAGCACCGGCUAACUACGUG
This 487-nucleotide ribosomal RNA is filed under the name uncultured bacterium. RNAcentral's name for it is "bacterial SSU rRNA". It matches the Rfam family "Bacterial small subunit ribosomal RNA", at positions 9 to 507 of the family's 1533-position model. The record is from RNAcentral.